Molecule: ribosomal RNA, 251 nt
Filed under: uncultured bacterium
Lineage: Bacteria
Description: partial 16S ribosomal RNA
Rfam family: Bacterial small subunit ribosomal RNA
Source: RNAcentral
AUACGAAGGGUGCAAGUCGUUACUCGGAAUUACUGGGCGUAAAGCGUGCGUAGGUGGUUCGUUAAGUCUGUCGUGAAAGCCCCCGGGCUCAACCUGGGAAUGGCGAUGGAUACUGGCGGGCUAGAGUGCGGUAGAGGAGAGUGGAAUUCCCGGUGUAGCAGUGAAAUGCGUAGAGAUCGGGAGGAACAUCAGUUGCGAAGGCGGCUCUCUGGACCAGCACUGACACUGAGGCACGAAAGCGGUGGGGAGAC